AGCUUAGGACUAGGGUUAAUGGAAAUUUUGAAAAUUUCUGUAAGUAUUUCGAAAAUACUAUGAGCUU
RNAcentral lists this transfer RNA (67 nucleotides) under Sepioloidea lineolata. Its description in RNAcentral is "tRNA-Ser". The record is from RNAcentral. Lineage: Eukaryota; Metazoa; Mollusca; Cephalopoda; Sepiida; Sepiadariidae.